This 751-nucleotide ribosomal RNA is filed under the name Elasticomyces elasticus. RNAcentral describes it as "eukaryotic LSU rRNA". It matches the Rfam family "Eukaryotic large subunit ribosomal RNA", at positions 151 to 931 of the family's 3401-position model. The record is from RNAcentral. Lineage: Eukaryota; Fungi; Ascomycota; Dothideomycetes; Mycosphaerellales; Teratosphaeriaceae.
GUAGAGGAUGCUUCUGGGCAGCGGCCGGUCUAAGUUCCUUGGAACAGGACGUCAUAGAGGGUGAGAAUCCCGUAUGCGACCGGUUGGCACCCGUCACGUAGCUCCUUCGACGAGUCGAGUUGUUUGGGAAUGCAGCUCUAAAUGGGUGGUAAAUUCCAUCUAAAGCUAAAUACCGGCCAGAGACCGAUAGCGCACAAGUAGAGUGAUCGAAAGAUGAAAAGCACUUUGGAAAGAGAGUUAAAAAGCACGUGAAAUUGUUGAAAGGGAAGCGCAUGCAACCAGACUUGUCGGCGGUGUUCCGCCGGUCUUCUGACCGGUCUACUCGCCGCCGACAGGCCAGCAUCGUGUGGGUGCGCCGGAUAAAGGCGUCGGGAAUGUGGCCCCUCGGGGUGUUAUAGCCCGGCGCACAAUACGGUGCCGCCCGCGCGAGGUCCGCGCUUCGGCUAGGAUGCUGGCGUAAUGGUCGUAUGCGGCCCGUCUUGAAACACGGACCAAGGAGUCUAACAUCUGUGCGAGUGUUCGGGUGUCAAACCCCUACGCGGAAUGAAAGUGAACGGAGGUGGGAGCUUCGGCGCACCAUCGACCGAUCCUGAUGUCCUCGGAUGGAUUUGAGUAAGAGCAUAGCUGUUGGGACCCGAAAGAUGGUGAACUAUGCCUGAAUAGGGUGAAGCCAGAGGAAACUCUGGUGGAGGCUCGCAGCGGUUCUGACGUGCAAAUCGAUCGUCCAAUUUUGGGUAUAGGGGCGAAAGAC